RNAcentral lists this long non-coding RNA (603 nucleotides) under Helianthus annuus (common sunflower). RNAcentral's name for it is "hypothetical non coding rna". Lineage: Eukaryota; Viridiplantae; Streptophyta; Magnoliopsida; Asterales; Asteraceae. The record is from RNAcentral.
CUCGUCAGUUACGAAGCUGGACUGAAACUGCCCUGUCAUUCAAUGCUGGAAGCUUCUGCGCGCGCGCGCGCCCAUGCGCGGUGCGCCAUGCGGCGUGCGGCCUCUUGGCUCACUGCCAUGCGGCGGUGCGGCGGUGCAGCUCAAGUCCGUCCAUGCGGCGUGCGGCGGUGCAGCUCAAGUCCGUCCAUGCGGCGGUGCGGCGUGCGCCACGUCACCUGUGAGUCUAUACGUGCGCGCCACACAGUCGCGCCGUAUUGGCUCACUCUGGUGCGCCGCACACGGCACAGUAGGACCCAUGCACCAUGCUCCCAACCGCGCGCCUCGUGUACCCGCGCGCGCAUGCGCAUGACUGUCACGUCAUGCGCCGCAUCACCUACCACUUGGUCCUUGCAACCCUUGUGCUUCACCACGCGCGCGCGGUCAAAAAUACAAAGGCGGCUCUCAAGCGGCUCGCGGCGAUGCGAGCGUGCGAAGUGCAAAGUGCGCCAUCAAAGCGCCACAUUGCGCCUCAUCGCCCACGCCACGCGCGCGCGCGCGCGCGAGCGAGCGUGUGCGAGUGCGAGUGCGAGUUAGGGUGCUCCGCACCCUUCGCGAGGACACUAG